This 68-nucleotide transfer RNA is filed under the name Cucujoidea sp. 19 KM-2017. RNAcentral describes it as "tRNA-Ile". Lineage: Eukaryota; Metazoa; Arthropoda; Insecta; Coleoptera. The record is from RNAcentral.
AAUAAAGUGCCUGAUAAAAGGACUAUUUUGAUAGAAUAGAUUAUACAUUGCAUUAUAUGUCUUUAUUA